GUGGCCGUAGUGUAGAGGUUAACACGCUAGGUUGUGGCCCUGGAGGCGAGGGUUCAAUUCCCUCCGGCCACCCCA
This 75-nucleotide transfer RNA is filed under the name Chloroflexota bacterium. Its description in RNAcentral is "Chloroflexi bacterium tRNA-His". It matches the Rfam family "tRNA". Rfam says of the family: Transfer RNA (tRNA) molecules are approximately 80 nucleotides in length. Their secondary structure includes four short double-helical elements and three loops (D, anti-codon, and T loops). The record is from RNAcentral. RNAcentral also lists the same sequence under 2 other names. Lineage: Bacteria; Bacillati; Chloroflexota.